RNAcentral lists this ribosomal RNA (255 nucleotides) under uncultured bacterium. Its description in RNAcentral is "partial 16S ribosomal RNA". It matches the Rfam family "Bacterial small subunit ribosomal RNA", at positions 524 to 777 of the family's 1533-position model. The record is from RNAcentral.
UACGGGGGGAGCAAGCGUUGUUCGGAUUUACUGGGCGUAAAGGGCUCGUAGGCGGCCAACUAAGUCAGACGUGAAAUCCCUCGGCUUAACCGGGGAACUGCGUCUGAUACUGGAUGGCUUGAGUUUGGGAGAGGGAUGCGGAAUUUCCAGGUGUAGCGGUGAAAUGCGUAGAUAUCUGGAGGAACACCGGUGGCGAAGGCGGCAUCCUGGACCGACAUUGACGCUGAGGCGCGAAAGCCAGGGGAGCAAAACGGG